This 1448-nucleotide long non-coding RNA is filed under the name Ursus maritimus (polar bear). RNAcentral's name for it is "lncRNA (ENSUMAG00000001627.1)". Lineage: Eukaryota; Metazoa; Chordata; Mammalia; Carnivora; Ursidae. The record is from RNAcentral.
GUUUUUACCACUUAAGGGAGAUGAGCCUUUGGCAGAAGCUUAGAGACUUUCUAUUUCACUUCCACAGCUGCACACGCUGAAUGAUAAUAGUUGCUGACCUUUUGUGAGCACUUGGUAUGCCCGUUGAACCUCUGAGGACGCGGACUCUCCGAGAGGUCAAGUCACGUGUGCAAUCACACAGCGGUAAGUGGCAGGGCAGGCUGCCUGACGCCGGGGCCGCUCGCAGCAGGUGCACCUGGCAGGAGGCCGAGGGGGCGGAUGGGUCCGUCUGCAACAGUGGGUCUCACGCCUAGUGGGUGUGCAAGAAAUGGCCUCGGUCAGUGUUAUUGCUAUCAUGUACUUUUUCAACAGAUGUGUUCCUUGACACCAAACAGUAGAAACACAACAUAGGAACAUGAUUUCCUGGGCUGGCUUCGGUGCUGAAUGAGUCCCCGCAGAACCAGUCCCUGCUGCUGUAGCCAAAAGCGCAUUCUUCACUUGGUCACCGUCAAAAUCAAAUUACCUAGCAAGCAGGGGCUGACGAGGCCUGUCACUACACAAAGUUAAUUAAAAAAAAAAAAGAAAGAGAGAAAAGACGCGAGAGCAAAGGACAGUUCUGGGCAGGGAAUGGCAGCCACAAAAUCAGGGAGGCGGGAAUCAGCCCAGCAUGUUUCCGGAGAGACAUGGACCGCUGGAGCCCUGGUUGCUGGGGGCCGAGGUGGAAGAUGACCCUAGAGAGGCCUUUGGUAUCCAGGCUGACACCCGCCAAGGCCGCCAGUCCCUGAUUUGUCAGGCUGCUGCAAAAAUGCUCGUCCUCCGUGUUCUCUGCUGUGUUGGUUUCGGCCCUCCUCCUCCUCCUCAGACUGCGGGCGCCCAGCUUUCCCAUUCAGCCUUGCCUGCGUCCAAGCUUCUGUCUUAGCAGCCCAGAGGGACGGCCUCAGAGCCUUGAGCUUCCCAGCCUGCUGACUUUCUCCAGCUUGGAGCAGUGACGUUGGAGCCUCUGAGCAUCAGGCCCUAAAGGUUCUUCACAGCCGAUCCCCCACAGCACAAAUUGACCUCUCCCCUGUUAGAUCGCUGUCUCUGUAUAACCUCACUGUGCUAUUAUGCCAGCAGGAUCUGGUCCAGUUACUCAGUUAUAUUAAAGUCCUCGUUGUUGGACUGAAUGGUUCUGUGCCCCUCUCCCAAAUUCAUAUGUUGAUGCCCUAACCCCCAGUGUGAUGGUAUUUGGAGAUGGGGGCCUUAAGGCAGUUAUUAGUGUUAGACGAAGUCAUGAACGUGGGCCCCAUGUUGCACUUAGUAAUGUUAGAAGGAGAGGAACAGUUGGAUCACAGCUUCCCCUCUCUGCCAUGUGAGGACACAGGGAGAAGGUCACUGUCCAUGAGCCUGGAAGAGAACCCUCACCAGGAACGGAAUCUGCAGACUCCUUGAUCUUGGGUUCCCAGCCUCCAAAACCAUGAGAAAUAAAUGUC